GACGAACGCUGGCGGCGUGCUUAACACAUGCCAGUCGAGCGGAAAGGCCCUUCGGGGUCCUCGAGCGGCGAACGGGCGAGUAACACGUGAGUAACCUGCCCCAGACUUUGGGAUAACCCUCGGAAACGGGGGCUAAUACCGGAUACGACACAGCUUCGCAUGGGGUCUGUGUGGAAAGUUUUUCGGUUUGGGAUGGGCUCGCGGCCUAUCAGCUUGUUGGUGGGGUGAUGGCCUACCAAGGCGACGACGGGUAGCCGGCCUGAGAGGGCGACCGGCCACACUGGGACUGAGACACGGCCCAGACUCCUACGGGAGGCAGCAGUGGGGAAUAUUGCACAAUGGGCGGAAGCCUGAUGCAGCGACGCCGCGUGAGGGAUGACGGCCUUCGGGUUGUAAACCUCUUUCAGCAGGGACGAAGCGUAAGUGACGGUACCUGCAGAAGAAGCGCCGGCCAACUACGUG
This 462-nucleotide ribosomal RNA is filed under the name uncultured bacterium. RNAcentral describes it as "partial 16S ribosomal RNA". It matches the Rfam family "Bacterial small subunit ribosomal RNA", at positions 28 to 507 of the family's 1533-position model. The record is from RNAcentral.